Molecule: ribosomal RNA, 261 nt
Filed under: uncultured bacterium
Lineage: Bacteria
Description: partial 16S ribosomal RNA
Rfam family: Bacterial small subunit ribosomal RNA
Source: RNAcentral
GUCCACGCCCUAAACGAUGAUCACUAGACGUCAGAAAGCCUAAUCUUUUGGUGUCGUAGCUAACGCGUUAAGUGAUCCGCCUGGGAAGUACGGUCGCAAGAUUAAAACUCAAAGAAAUUGACGGGGCCCGCACAAGCGGUGGAGUAUGUGGUUUAAUUCGAUGCUACGCGAAAACCUUACCUGGACUUGACAUCCCGCGCUAUCCCGUGAAAGCGGGAGUUUCCUUCGGGAACGCGGAGACAGGUGCUGCAUGGCUGUCGU